RNAcentral lists this ribosomal RNA (292 nucleotides) under uncultured Alphaproteobacteria bacterium. Its description in RNAcentral is "partial 16S ribosomal RNA". The record is from RNAcentral. Lineage: Bacteria; Pseudomonadati; Pseudomonadota; Alphaproteobacteria.
GGACUACUCGGGUUUCUAAUCCUGUUUGCUCCCCACGCUUUCGCGCCUCAGCGUCAGUUACAGGCCAGUGAGCCGCCUUCGCCACCGGUGUUCCUCCCAAUAUCUACGAAUUUUACCUCUACACUGGGAAUUCCACUCACCUCUCCUGUACUCGAGCCCCGCAGUCUCAAAAGCAAUUCCCAGGUUAAGCCUGGGGAUUUCACUCCUGACGUGCGAAGCCGCCUACGCGCCCUUUACGCCCAGUAAUUCCGAACAACGCUAGCCCCCUUCGUAUUACCGCGGCUGCUGGCAC